This 86-nucleotide transfer RNA is filed under the name Chloroflexota bacterium. RNAcentral's name for it is "Chloroflexi bacterium tRNA-Leu". It matches the Rfam family "tRNA". Rfam says of the family: Transfer RNA (tRNA) molecules are approximately 80 nucleotides in length. Lineage: Bacteria; Bacillati; Chloroflexota. The record is from RNAcentral.
GGGCGAGUGGCGAAACGGCAGACGCGUUAGCUUUAGGAGCUAAUGCUCGAAAGAGCGUGAGGGUUCGAGUCCCUCCUCGCCCACCG